AUGGGCACGCCGACGACGACUCUAGCGGCCCUGGCGGCGCUGCUGCUGUGCCUGUGCGUCUCCAUGUCCUCCGCCGCUGAGUACAAGGUGGGCGGGCUGGACGCGUGGGGGGUGCCGCCGUCCACCAAGCCGGACGUGUACGUGCGUUGGGCCAAGUCCGUCCCCGUCAAGCUCGGCGACGCCCUCUUCUUCCUCUACCCGCCCAGCCAGGACAGCGCCGUCCAGGUCACCGCCAAGGCCUUCGCCGCCUGCGACGUCUCCGACCCGCUGCUCAAGCUGGACGACGGCAACUCCGUCUUCAACCUCACCAAGCCCGGCCGGGCCUACUUCACCAGCGCCGCCCCGGGCCGCUGCCGCAAGGGCCAGAAGCUGUCGGUGGACGUGCCUGGAGCCGAUGGGAAGCUGCUCAAGCCGUCCGCGGACGACGAGGCCGCGCUCAAGGCGCUCUCUGCGCUGCCGCCUGCCGCUGCCCCGUCCGAGGCGCUCCCCUCGCUCUCACCCGACGACGCCGACGACGACUCCGCUGCCUCCAUGGUCCUGCACCGGGCCGCCGGAUCCGUAGGUCUCGCUCUGUCUCUCACCCUCCUGUGGCUGUGA
RNAcentral lists this ribosomal RNA (597 nucleotides) under Triticum aestivum (bread wheat). RNAcentral's name for it is "partial small subunit ribosomal RNA". Lineage: Eukaryota; Viridiplantae; Streptophyta; Magnoliopsida; Poales; Poaceae. The record is from RNAcentral.